AUUGAACGCUGGCGGCAGGCCUAACACAUGCAAGUCGAGCGAGCGGCGGACGGGUGAGUAAUGUCUGGGAAACUGCCUGAUGGAGGGGGAUAACUACUGGAAACGGUAGCUAAUACCGCAUACCAUCGGAUGUGCCCAUAUGGGAUUAGCUAGUAGGUGGGGUAAAGGCUCACCUAGGCGACGAUCCCUAGCUGGUCUGAGAGGAUGACCAGCCACACUGGAACGUGGACACGGUCCAGACUCCUACGGGAGGCAGCAGUGGGGAAUAUUGCACAAGGGGCGCAAGCCUGAUGCAGCCAUGCCGCGUGUGUGAAGAAGGCCUUCGGGUUGUAAAGUACUUUCAGCGGGGAGGCGUUACUCGCAGAAGAAGCACCGGCUAACUCCGUGCCAGCAGCCGCGGUAAUAC
RNAcentral lists this ribosomal RNA (406 nucleotides) under uncultured bacterium. RNAcentral's name for it is "partial 16S ribosomal RNA". It matches the Rfam family "Bacterial small subunit ribosomal RNA", at positions 30 to 526 of the family's 1533-position model. The record is from RNAcentral.